AACCCUUCGGGGUUAGUGGCGCACGGGUGCGUAACGCGUGGGAACCUGCCUUUAGGUUCGGAAUAACAGUUAGAAAUGACUGCUAAUACCGAAUAAUGUCUUCGGACCAAAGAUUUAUCGCCUUUAGAUGGGCCCGCGUUGGAUUAGCUAGUUGGUAGGGUAAAAGCCUACCAAGGCGACGAUCCAUAGCUGGUCUGAGAGGAUGAUCAGCCACACUGGGACUGAGACACGGCCCAGACUCCUACGGGAGGCAGCAGUGGGGAAUAUUGGACAAUGGGCGAAAGCCUGAUCCAGCAAUGCCGCGUGAGUGAUGAAGGCCUUAGGGUUGUAAAGCUCUUUUACCAGGGAUGAUAAUGACAGUACCUGGAGAAUAAGCUCCGGCUAACUCCGUGCCAGCAGCCGCGGUAAUACGGAGGGAGCUAGCGUUGUUCGGAAUUACUGGGCGUAAAGCGCACGUAGGCGGC
This 464-nucleotide ribosomal RNA is filed under the name uncultured Alphaproteobacteria bacterium. RNAcentral's name for it is "bacterial SSU rRNA". It matches the Rfam family "Bacterial small subunit ribosomal RNA", at positions 69 to 579 of the family's 1533-position model. Lineage: Bacteria; Pseudomonadati; Pseudomonadota; Alphaproteobacteria. The record is from RNAcentral.